Long non-coding RNA from Dreissena polymorpha, 484 nucleotides. RefSeq lists it as uncharacterized. The transcript has 4 exons. The record is from RefSeq and is a predicted model, not a curated record. NCBI's taxonomy places the organism in Eukaryota, Metazoa, Mollusca, Bivalvia, Myida, Dreissenidae.
AGAGACGCAUAUGGACAAUUGAUUAUGUCUGGAAGCGUGUGUCCCGUAUAGCUAGUCGAUGCAUAUCUAGCGUAGAUGAUGACAAAACAAGUGGCCAAAUAUCGUCAGCUUUAAUACGCAAAUCAUUGAAGUCGAUUUUAAUCGCAGAAUCAUUACAAAAGUGGACAAUCCUGGAUGACAAUAACUGCGAAAUAUGUAUGGUUAAUGGACAAUUGGAAAAAGAAAAUCUUUCCUUUCGCCGAGUAUCAGAAAUAAAUCAUUUUAACUGCGCAACAAAAAUCAAAAUAUGUUGUGCCUGCAUGAGGAAUUCGUACGUAAAUCCAAUCAAGUGUCAGGAGUGCGAUAACGAGAUCAAAUCUAUCAUAGGGGAUGGAUGGGGCGCCAUUUUAAUAGCUGGAUUCGACGAAGACAAUUCGUUUCAAAAUGAUGUGAAGAUGUUUGCACAUGCUAUAUCAUCGAAAGUUCUACCAUCGAUGUGUGUAAG